Long non-coding RNA from Vicia villosa (hairy vetch), 642 nucleotides. RefSeq lists it as uncharacterized. The transcript is spliced from 5 exons. Lineage: Eukaryota; Viridiplantae; Streptophyta; Magnoliopsida; Fabales; Fabaceae. The record is from RefSeq and is a predicted model, not a curated record.
CUCUUUGGAUGAUAUUACAAGAGAUGCUGACUUUUUAGAUAAUCUAAUCUAAGUGAGUUUCUGUUCCAUGUUUUUAUUUAUACUAAUUUUUUAAAACUUCUUUCAGCAAUCCUUUUUCAAGCAGUUUUAUGGUUCUGUGACAGAAUCAGACUAUGUGACAUUAAGGCUCGGGUUCAUUAUGACUCACUGCAAGACAAACCCAAAGUUUGAUUUUCACAAGUAUAUGAUCCGUGCCCUUGAAGAUGAAUUCAAGAUAGUUGUUGGCAUAAGUUGGUAUCUUUGGCUCUUUGUGGUCAUCUUCUUGUUGUUAAAUAUCAAUGGACUCACAAAAAUCCCAUUAAAACAAAUACAGAAGCACAUUGAAAUCUGAUGCUGAUGCGGUUACGGUGCUAGAUGGAACACAGGAAGGUGCUUUUCAAUGGGGAAUUGAAGGAAAUGGGAGAAAAGGAUUAUGAAGCUUAUAAAAGAUAGCUCUUGUUUUAUAUUAAUUGUGCUAGGUUGGUUGUGUUUGUGUUGGUGCUAUUAAAUUUAAACUGGUUGUAUUAAUUUUGAGCAAACAUUUAUAUGCUCAAAAAACUUAGAUUUUAUAUGGUGCUUAGAUGUGUUUGAAUUUGGUUGUUUUAUGUUUCAACCGCUUGUAUU